UCAUGAUGGCGGAAGUUAUAACUAUUUUAUGUGUUUUUUGUUGCUUUUUACUUGUUUUCGGCAAAGGUAUGAAUUCAUAAUAUCACUAUAAUAGUCAUUUAAUUUACUACUAAUUUGAUUUGAGUGAAUUCUGGCGUAAAAGAGAAGCGAAAAAUAUUAAAGUUGGCAUUUUAACACAUAAGUCGAGGAAAGUCUAUACUAAUUAAUUCAAAAGCUUUAUUAUUACCAAUUAAAUUAAUUGUAACGUUCACAGAAUGAAAUUUUUGGCUUACCAACAAGAACCAAGUAUGUUUCCUUUACAAUGUAAAUAUAAGUCUAGUUGAAGGAGUAGCUUCACCAACUGAUUGCAUUGAUACCAAAGUAUACAGAUGCUCUAAGGAACUUUUAUAUUGACAGUAGUUGGUUUUAAACAUGAACACUGAUAAAUUGUAUGUUUAUUACAUGCAAUGUAGAUGGCUUGCUUGCCAACAAUUAGCCUUAUAGAUAUGAUAAACGACAAAAUACAUAAAUAUCUUUUUAGAAAUUGAUCUUCUGAUCCGGUAACACUGUUUUUUUUUGUAGAGAAUUAUCAAGUAAUUGUCUCCUACAACGCGACAGAAACUGUGAAUUGUAGUGCCACAACUCUUAUACAGAUUAUAAACAUUACCGUCAAAGAAAACAGCAAAUGCAACCCGAUGGAUUGCAUAUUGUCAGAGGGGCAAAUAAAUGCAAAAAAAAGCUUCAUGUGAUGAACAGCAUGCUUGUAAUAUUACAUCAAAUAUACCAAACAGUUGUCUACUUGACCUCGGAUAUCUCAACUAUGGAUAUGCAUGUA
Molecule: long non-coding RNA, 814 nt
Filed under: Mytilus galloprovincialis (Mediterranean mussel)
Lineage: Eukaryota; Metazoa; Mollusca; Bivalvia; Mytilida; Mytilidae
Source: RNAcentral